CCUACGGGGGGCAGCAGUGGGGAAUAUUGCGCAAUGGGCGAAAGCCUGACGCAGCGACGCCGCGUGAGGGAUGAAGGUCUUCGGAUCGUAAACCUCUGUCAGCAGGGAAGAACGGUCACUGUGCUAAUCAGCAGUGAAUUGACGGUACCUGCAAAGGAAGCACCGGCUAACUCCGUGCCAGCAGCCGCGGUAAUAAGGAGGGUGCGAGCGUUAAUCGGAAUUACUGGGCGUAAAGCGCUCGUAGGCGGUAUGUCAAUUCAAGUGUGAAAUCCCCGCGCUCAACGUGGGAACUGCCUUUGAAACUGGCAAACUGGAGUGUGUGAGAGGAUAGUGGAAUUCCAGGUGUAGGAGUGAAAGCCGUAGAUAUCUGGAGGAACAUCAGUGGCGAAGGCGACUAUCUGGCACAUAACUGACGCUGAGGAGCGAAAGCGUGGGUAGCAAACAGGAUUAGAUACCCUUGUAGUC
Molecule: ribosomal RNA, 465 nt
Filed under: uncultured bacterium
Lineage: Bacteria
Description: partial 16S ribosomal RNA
Rfam family: Bacterial small subunit ribosomal RNA
Source: RNAcentral